Molecule: ribosomal RNA, 253 nt
Filed under: uncultured bacterium
Lineage: Bacteria
Description: partial 16S ribosomal RNA
Rfam family: Bacterial small subunit ribosomal RNA
Source: RNAcentral
UACGUAGGGUGCAAGCGUUAUCCGGAAUUAUUGGGCGUAAAGAGCUCGUAGGCGGUUCGUCACGUCGGGAGUGAAAACUCGGGGCUUAACCCCGAGCCUGCUUCCGAUACGGGCAGACUAGAGGUAGGCAGGGGAGAGCGGAACUCCUGGUGUAGCGGUGGAAUGCGCAGAUAUCAGGAAGAACACCGGUGGCGAAGGCGGCUCUCUGGGCCUUACCUGACGCUGAGGAGCGAAAGCGUGGGGAGCAAACAGG